GGGCCUGUAGCUCAGCUGGGAGAGCGUUCGGUUCGCAUCCGAGAGGUCAAGGGUUCAAAUCCCUCCAGGUCCACCA
RNAcentral lists this transfer RNA (76 nucleotides) under Caproiciproducens galactitolivorans. RNAcentral describes it as "tRNA-Ala". It matches the Rfam family "tRNA". Rfam says of the family: Transfer RNA (tRNA) molecules are approximately 80 nucleotides in length. Their secondary structure includes four short double-helical elements and three loops (D, anti-codon, and T loops). Lineage: Bacteria; Bacillati; Bacillota; Clostridia; Eubacteriales; Acutalibacteraceae. RNAcentral also lists the same sequence under 4 other names. The record is from RNAcentral.